Molecule: long non-coding RNA, 92 nt
Organism: Telopea speciosissima
Lineage: Eukaryota; Viridiplantae; Streptophyta; Magnoliopsida; Proteales; Proteaceae
Exons: 3
Source: RefSeq, a predicted model, not a curated record
GAGGAUACUUGUCUUGAUCGACAACCCUUGUGUUCUCGAGCUUUAUAUUGAGGUACUGAUCGACGGAAUGAAGAGGUACUCUUCAUUGUGUA